Molecule: long non-coding RNA, 768 nt
Organism: Cercocebus atys (sooty mangabey)
Lineage: Eukaryota; Metazoa; Chordata; Mammalia; Primates; Cercopithecidae
Exons: 5
Source: RefSeq, a predicted model, not a curated record
AGAAUAGUGGGCUCCUAAACAUGUCUACAUCCCAAUGCCCAGGACCUGUUACCUUACAUGGUAAAAGACACUUUGCAGAUGUGAUUAAGCCUGAACAAUCCAUCAGCAACCCAUGAGCCAGCAGAACAAAAGAUGACAGAACUGGGGCUGGCAGAGCAAGGAAUGAAAAAGAACAGAUCAGUGUUCAGUUUGAAAGAGCCAUAAUUCAGCGGUCUUUCUAUAUUACCUCUCAGAGGAAGUAGCCUGCGUGUCUAAAGAGAGAAGGGAAGUUUAAGUACUGGAAAAAAGGAAAGUCUUCAGCCUUGGGAAUGUAAUAACCUGGGGUCAGCUGAGAACCCUGAGGAAGACUGACCCAAUCAGCUGCUGGGAGAAGCAACAUAACUGCUCUGCUGGAGGGAGAAACAAAUUCUAAUCAGAUUUAUUUGACAAGAAAUCUUAAGAGUCCUCACUUGCUGGGAGCUCAGAGAAAGUGAUCAUAAGCCAGUUGCUCAAAGACCGGUGUGGAAAGGGCUUAAGAAGGAAGAGGACCAGAGGGAAAUUACCAUCUGGAGACAAGAUGACACUGGGAACUUGGAGGAAAACGUUCAGGUACCGUAUGAGGAAGCAGAACACUGGUUGUAGGUUGUGUAUCAAUGGCUUUCUAUGAGUAAAUGACCUGAAAAUGUAUGUGACUAAGCAACAUAAUGUGGAUUUCUGAAAGCUGAAUGACUUAAAGAAAAAUCUGCUUAUUUCUAAGAAAACCAACAAGUGGUUUCUUUCAGUAAGUUA